CCUACGGGUGGCAGCAGUGAGGAAUAUUGGUCAAUGGGCGAGAGCCUGAACCAGCCAAGUCGCGUGAAGGAUGAAGGAUCUAUGGUUUGUAAACUUCUGUUAUAGGGGAAGAAAGUGAGGAACGUGUUCCUUUUUGUAUGUACCAUAUGAAUAAGCAUCGGCUAACUCCGUGCCAGCAGCCGCGGUAAUACGGAGGAUGCGAGCGUUAUCCGGAUUGAUUGGGUUUAAAGGGUGCGUAGGUGGUUAAUUAAGUCAGCGGGGAAAGUUUGUGGCUCAACCAUAAAAUUGCCGUUGAAACGGGUUGCCUUGAUUAUCUUUGCGGUAGGCGGAAUGCGUGGUGUAGCGG
Molecule: ribosomal RNA, 346 nt
Filed under: uncultured bacterium
Lineage: Bacteria
Description: partial 16S ribosomal RNA
Rfam family: Bacterial small subunit ribosomal RNA
Source: RNAcentral